AUAAAUCAAGAUCAUAAUCUCUUUGAAUUGAUACGGAGUCUUCAUUAGCUUACUAAUUACACAGAAACUAAGCAUCAAAGGUGCUGACGUCACAUUAUGAUGCAGAACCGCCACGAUUGUCAGACGAGAUAAACUCCAGGUCAAAUAUAGAUGACCAUAUUACAAUCAAAAGCACCCUAUUACAGACCACCAAUCUAUCGUCAAGUUGCAGCCCAACCUUAUUCAGCACCAUCUCCAAUCCUCAACACAUCAGCCUGACCUUUAGCAUUCACAUCAUUAUCUUGAUGGCCAUCUAUGGGCCCUUCGACUUGCAGCGCCUCCAUGCCUUUUUCCAGCACCUCCUCCUCUGUCCAAUAUCUCAAAAUUAUGCACAACCAAAAUGUAGAUACUCAUAAGGUUGUUAACUAGUACGUACGAAAGAACAAAUGGUGGAUCUUUAUAUUGGAUAACACUUGGCUAACCGCUUGAGAGAAAACACAUGAAGAAGCUAGCAAAAUAGUUGUGAUAAAUACUAGGGCUGAAAAGAGACGACACGCAGAAUACAUGGAAAAUAAACCUUUGGAACUUUUCUCCCCAUGGUCUAAUUCAAACACUCACUAUUGUUUGUUUACCAUUACCAUUGUACUUUGCAAUACAUGAGUAAAUACAUAGCCACACAAAGGACCACUUAGAAAUGGAUCAUAGAAGAACCUAAAAGCCAAAAUAUGAAAUUAUAUCUUCAUGUUGCAAGACUUUAUAGAUUACCUCUUAACAUACCAACUUUCCAUCUCAAAGCAAGAAACUCAGGUCUCAGUAGCGAGAAUGAACGAACUACUUACAUUUGGCAUGCACCUUAAAGAAUACUCCUACAUGAGAAGUUCAAAACUAAACUAUAUAAGUAUAUAAAGCAAAACGUUUCUAAGCACAAGCUGUUUUCACUACUUAAAUGGCAACACUGUCGAGCAAUUUUCGAGUGGGAUAGUACUCCCUUGAAAAAUUAAUCAAGCUCAACCCUUUGAAUUAUCCUCACAAUAUACAUAGGAGAUGCAUUAGUAGUAGCAAUCGUUUGGAUUUUAAUUUGCAUCCUUACCAGCUAUGUCUCCUUGUAUCUUAUCUGAAAUAAACAUCAUGAGAUAAAUUUAUGGGUGUAAAGAUGAACAAAAGGUGACUUCCCUGUCUCAUUAAAUGUAUCAAAAGACACCACCAAACCAACUCGUGCUACCCAGGAAUGAGUGUUUCCAAGGUGAAACAAUUCAAAGAUGAACAUAAUUUCGAAUUUGUAUUCCUUCUCCAUUAGCUUGACGAAAAAAAGCUAUUUCACCAACAUAAUUACUGUGAUAUAUUCUAUACGAAUCCACAAUGCCCCCAAAUAGUACUCAUUGUGCUCAAGAUCCUCUCUUGUCUGCUUACCUUAAAGUAACAAUUAGAACAGACUAACAAAUAAAUCAGAAUCAUGUUCGUGAGCCUAAUCAGCUUUGCCACAAGCACAAAAGAAAUAACAGCUAUGAAAUGUGUAAACAAGAAAGCGAUCAUCCAAUCACAAUAACUAACAAUCAAGCAUCAGACAGGCUGCGCGAUAACAAUGAAGGGCAGGGAAUAACUAUCAAGCAACAGAAAGUUUACCAUUUGAUACUUUCGGUG
This 1620-nucleotide long non-coding RNA is filed under the name Triticum aestivum (bread wheat). Its description in RNAcentral is "long non-coding RNA (TAES_LNC012875)". The record is from RNAcentral. Lineage: Eukaryota; Viridiplantae; Streptophyta; Magnoliopsida; Poales; Poaceae.